CGCCCUUACGGCGAGGCAGCAGCAAGGAAUUUUCCCCAAUGGCGCAGCGAAGCCUGAGGGCGCAACGCCGAGUGGAGGACGACGGCCUUCGGGUUGUAAACUCCUUUCGGGUGGGACGACCCCGACGGUACCACCAGAAGCAGCCCCGGCUAACUCUGUGCCAGCAGCCGCGGUAAGACAGAGGGGGCAAGCGUUGUCCGGAGUUACUGGGCGUAAAGGGCGCGGAGGCGGUCUGCGGCGUCGGCGCUGAAAGCCCCCGCGUUAACGGGGGCGAGGCGUGCCGAUACGCGCAGACUUGCAGGCGAGCAGGAGGGUGGUGGAACUUCCCGGGUGGCAGCGGUGAACAUGCGUAGAAGAUCCCGAGGAACGCCAUGGGGAAAGCGCGGCCACCUGGGCUCGUCCUGACGGUGCGGCGCGACCACGUGGGGGAGGCAAAACCCUCGAUUUACGAGUACCCCCGUUAGACGUUCCAACGGACUGUAAGACGUUUCCAGCUCGGCGUUGUGGCGACGGUCGGCGUUGCGUUUGCCUUAAGUUCAACGGGCAUAAAGCUGACCCGCCCUGUGGCCCUACGAGCCCAAUUUGAAACGUUCAAAGAAUUUACGUGGGCCCGAAACGCAGCGGUGUGUGGGUUUAUUUGCG
This 642-nucleotide ribosomal RNA is filed under the name uncultured bacterium. RNAcentral's name for it is "bacterial SSU rRNA". It matches the Rfam family "Bacterial small subunit ribosomal RNA", at positions 334 to 955 of the family's 1533-position model. The record is from RNAcentral.